Molecule: ribosomal RNA, 484 nt
Filed under: uncultured bacterium
Lineage: Bacteria
Description: partial 16S ribosomal RNA
Rfam family: Bacterial small subunit ribosomal RNA
Source: RNAcentral
AUUGAACGCUGGCGGCAUGCCUAACACAUGCGAGUCGAGCGGAUGAAGGGAGCUUUCUCCUGGAUUCAGCGGCGGACGGGUGAGUAAUGCCUAGGAAUCUGCCUGGUAUUGGGGGAUAACGUCCGUACACGGGCGCUAAUACCGCAUACGUCCUGAUGUAGAAAGUGGUGGAUCAUUGGAGCUCACGCUAUCUGCUGAGCCUAGGACGGAUUAGCUAGUUGGUGUGGUAAAGGCCUACCAAGGCGACGAUCCGUAACUGGCCUGAGAGGAUGAUCAGCCACACUGGAACUGAGACACGGUCCAGACUCCUACGGGAGGCAGCAGUAGGGAAUCUUGGACAAUGGGCGAAAGCCUGACCCAGCCAUGCCGCGUGUGUGAAGAAGGUCUUCGGAUUGUAAAGCUCUUUAAGUUGGGAGGAAGAGAAGUAAGUGAAUACAUUGCUGUUUUGACGGUACCAACAGAAUAAGCAACGGCUAACUUCGUG